RNAcentral lists this small RNA (1140 nucleotides) under Arabidopsis thaliana (thale cress). Its description in RNAcentral is "ATSL273970". Lineage: Eukaryota; Viridiplantae; Streptophyta; Magnoliopsida; Brassicales; Brassicaceae. The record is from RNAcentral.
GGGUUCUUUUAGGCCUGGGCUCCUGUUGUUGAUUUCCCUGAAGCUUCUCUGAUGUCAAACUUCAUCUUGAUGCCUUUUUCAAGGUUCAGAUUAAUUUUUCCAUUCCUGACAUCCAUGACUGCUCCAGCUGAAGCUAGGAAUGGUCUGCCUAGGAUCAGGGGAUCCUUGCCUUCUUCAUCUACGUCCAAUACCACAAAAUCUGUAGGUAUCUCAACAUUUCCAAUCUUAACAGGCAGAUUCUCUAUGAGACCGUGAGGAUGUGCAACAGAACCAUCAGCUAAGAAUAAAGCUAAGUUGCAGAACUUGAAUUCUAUGAUCCCUAGCCUUUUAGCUGUAGAGAGAGGCAUAAGGCUAACAGAUGCUCCCAAAUCACAAAGGCACCUAUUGAAUGUCAAUGGUCCUAAAGAGCAUGGAAGAGUGAAUGAACCGGGAUCAUCAAGCUUUUCUUGGAUGACUUUCUUCUUGUAUAUUUCUUGAGUGCUGGAACUGCUAAUCAUCUUUUGAUUCUGCUCUUUCUUGAGUUUUUCAAUUUUGAAUCUUUUUCCGGAAUGUUGAGUAUUCAGCAAAGGUGUGUGCUCUAUAGUCUAGAUGGAUUGCUGAGUGGCAGGUGCAGCAAUUUGAGUUGAAUCCCCCCCUUCUUGAAUCAUACUGUCCUCAGUAUUGAGAGUCAGAUGACUUGGUGGAGACUCAUCUUCUUGGUGGAUGGUGAUAGCAUUAGCAGUAGCAUAGUCCUUAGGAUUCUGGACUGCUUUCCCUGGAAGUUGUUGAGGAUGCUUCGGAGCAGAGGUUGAUGCAAAUUGACUCUCCACAUACUUGAUUUUUGAGUUCAAAGCUUCAAACUUGACAUUCAGAUCGUUGUAUGAACAAUCGAUCUUGUUGUGUAAUUCAGCUAUCUUCUUGUCAAAAGCCAUAGCGCCAGUAGCUUACCCUUGGAUGAUCUGUUGAAUGAGUUGCUUAAUUUCAGGAUCUUGAGCUGCUGGGGCUUGUUGUGGUUGUUGAGUGAACCCUGGUGUUGGAUUCUGCUAUUGGUAGCCUCCAUUGAACUGUUGUUUAGGGACAUAACCUUGGUUAUACUGAACAAAAGGCUUGGACUGAUUCUGUUGUGGUGGAUACACUUGAUCUUGGGGGUUAGCUACAUUA